Molecule: ribosomal RNA, 756 nt
Filed under: Bacillus pumilus
Lineage: Bacteria; Bacillati; Bacillota; Bacilli; Caryophanales; Bacillaceae
Description: bacterial SSU rRNA
Rfam family: Bacterial small subunit ribosomal RNA
Source: RNAcentral
GGGAUGCCUAAUACAUGCAGUCGAGCGGACAGAAGGGAGCUUGCUCCCGGAUGUUAGCGGCGGACGGGUGAGUAACACGUGGGUAACCUGCCUGUAAGACUGGGAUAACUCCGGGAAACCGGAGCUAAUACCGGAUAGUUCCUUGAACCGCAUGGUUCAAGGAUGAAAGACGGUUUCGGCUGUCACUUACAGAUGGACCCGCGGCGCAUUAGCUAGUUGGUGAGGUAACGGCUCACCAAGGCGACGAUGCGUAGCCGACCUGAGAGGGUGAUCGGCCACACUGGGACUGAGACACGGCCCAGACUCCUACGGGAGGCAGCAGUAGGGAAUCUUCCGCAAUGGACGAAAGUCUGACGGAGCAACGCCGCGUGAGUGAUGAAGGUUUUCGGAUCGUAAAGCUCUGUUGUUAGGGAAGAACAAGUGCAAGAGUAACUGCUUGCACCUUGACGGUACCUAACCAGAAAGCCACGGCUAACUACGUGCCAGCAGCCGCGGUAAUACGUAGGUGGCAAGCGUUGUCCGGAAUUAUUGGGCGUAAAGGGCUCGCAGGCGGUUUCUUAAGUCUGAUGUGAAAGCCCCCGGCUCAACCGGGGAGGGUCAUUGGAAACUGGGAAACUUGAGUGCAGAAGAGGAGAGUGGAAUUCCACGUGUAGCGGUGAAAUGCGUAGAGAUGUGGAGGAACACCAGUGGCGAAGGCGACUCUCUGGUCUGUAACUGACGCUGAGGAGCGAAAGCGUGGGGAGCGAACAGGAUUAG